Molecule: ribosomal RNA, 330 nt
Filed under: Phylladiorhynchus barbeae
Lineage: Eukaryota; Metazoa; Arthropoda; Malacostraca; Decapoda; Galatheidae
Description: partial large subunit ribosomal RNA
Rfam family: Eukaryotic large subunit ribosomal RNA
Source: RNAcentral
CGAAAGAUGGUGAACUAUGCCUGGCCAGGAUGAAGCCAGAGGAAACUCUGGUGGAGGUCCGCAGCAGUUCUGACGUGCAAAUCGAUUGUCAGAGCUGGGUAUAGGGGCGAAAGACUAAUCGAACCAUCUAGUAGCUGGUUCCCUCCGAAGUUUCCCUCAGGAAAGCUGGUGCUCAUUAAUGAGUUACAUCUGGUAAAGCGAAUGAUUAGAGGUCUUGGGGACGCAAUGUCCUCAACCUAUUCUCAAACUUUAAAUGGGUGUGAUGCCGGCCUUGCUUUAACUUUAAGUGAAGGUCUGGUGAAAAAUCAGAGUACCAAGUGGGCCAAUUUU